UCCCAAGAGAAGAGAAAUUAUCUGAUAGGU
RNAcentral lists this non-coding RNA (30 nucleotides) under Mus musculus (house mouse). Lineage: Eukaryota; Metazoa; Chordata; Mammalia; Rodentia; Muridae. The record is from RNAcentral.